Molecule: ribosomal RNA, 508 nt
Filed under: uncultured bacterium
Lineage: Bacteria
Description: partial 16S ribosomal RNA
Rfam family: Bacterial small subunit ribosomal RNA
Source: RNAcentral
AUUGAACGCUGGCGGCAUGCCUUACACAUGCAAGUCGAACGGCAGCGGGGGAGAAGCUUGCUUUUCCUGCCGGCGAGUGGCGAACGGGUGAGUAAUACAUCGGAACGUGCCCUGUAGUGGGGGAUAACUAGUCGAAAGAUUAGCUAAUACCGCAUACGACCUGAGGGUGAAAGUGGGGGACCGCAAGGCCUCAUGCUAUAGGAGCGGCCGAUGUCUGAUUAGCUAGUUGGUGGGGUAAAGGCCUACCAAGGCGACGAUCAGUAGCUGGUCUGAGAGGACGAUCAGCCACACUGGGGCUGAGACCCGGCCCAGACUCCUACGGGAGGCAGCAGUGGGGAAUUUUGGACAAUGGGCGAAAGCCUGAUCCAGCAAUGCCGCGUGUGUGAAGAAGGCCUUCGGGUUGUAAAGCACUUUUGUCCGGAAAGAAAUGGCUCUGGUUAAUACCUGGGGUCGAUGACGGUACCGGAAGAAUAAGGACCGGCUAACUACGUGCCAGCCGCCGCAGUAA